Molecule: transfer RNA, 72 nt
Filed under: Ovis aries (sheep)
Lineage: Eukaryota; Metazoa; Chordata; Mammalia; Artiodactyla; Bovidae
Rfam family: tRNA
About the family: Transfer RNA (tRNA) molecules are approximately 80 nucleotides in length. Their secondary structure includes four short double-helical elements and three loops (D, anti-codon, and T loops). Further hydrogen bonds mediate the characteristic L-shaped molecular structure. tRNAs have two regions of fundamental functional importance: the anti-codon, which is responsible for specific mRNA codon recognition, and the 3' end, to which the tRNAs corresponding amino acid is attached (by aminoacyl-tRNA synthetases). tRNAs cope with the degeneracy of the genetic code in two manners: having more than one tRNA (with a specific anti-codon) for a particular amino acid; and 'wobble' base-pairing, i.e. permitting non-standard base-pairing at the 3rd anti-codon position.
Source: Rfam by way of RNAcentral
ACCCUUUUGGCUCAGAUGGUAAAGAAUCUGCUUGCAAUGCAGGAGACCUGGGUUCGAUUCCUGGUCUGGGUC